RNAcentral lists this transfer RNA (71 nucleotides) under Marmota monax (woodchuck). Its description in RNAcentral is "tRNA.Ala". The record is from RNAcentral. Lineage: Eukaryota; Metazoa; Chordata; Mammalia; Rodentia; Sciuridae.
GGGGUUGUGGCUCAGCGGUAGAGCACUCACCUAGCAUGUGCGAGGCCCUGGGUUCCAUCCACAGCACCACA